UUCUUUACUUUAUUGCUAUUCUUAUUGUACAUCUUGCGAUCUGGAGAACAUUGAUUUUGAAAUAUCAUCUUAGUAUCAAUUAAUUGCUGGAUAUGUUUUUUUCUUAUCUUCUUGUGGAAUGCAUGAGAGUAAAAUAUAAAGUAUUUGCCACUUUUUACAAUUGUUACCGUUGCUAGACACUCGAACGAUGCUAUGAACAGUCCUCCGCAAGUUAAAUGAAAUUCUU
Molecule: long non-coding RNA, 226 nt
Organism: Ooceraea biroi (clonal raider ant)
Lineage: Eukaryota; Metazoa; Arthropoda; Insecta; Hymenoptera; Formicidae
Source: RefSeq, a predicted model, not a curated record